UUACGAUCUUAGGCCGAUGCUUUGCCAUGUGGCUCAUAUGCUGGAGUUUUUAUGUUGUCGGAUCUAAAGUUGCUUCGUUGGUUUUAGAUUAUUUGACUGGC
RNAcentral lists this small RNA (101 nucleotides) under Karlodinium veneficum. RNAcentral's name for it is "partial Cyanobacteria transfer-messenger RNA". The record is from RNAcentral. Lineage: Eukaryota; Dinophyceae; Gymnodiniales; Kareniaceae.